GCCGCCCUUCGCUGCGGGAGACGCCGCAGGUCGCCGCCCGUCGCGCCCUUCGCCGCGGGAGAAAUGGAGCCGCCGCCCGUCGCUUGCCGCGGGAGCCGCCGCAGGUUGCCGCCUGUCACGUCCUUCGCCUUGUCGCGCCCUUCGCCGCGGGAGAGCCGGAGCAGCCGCCCGUCGCGCGCCGGGGGAGCCUCCUCAGGUCGCCGCGGUAGAGCCGGAGUCGCCGCGAUCGUGAGCAGCCGCCCGCCGUCCUCCCCUACGCGGUCGAACCUUCCUUCGGCCCCUCCUCGCGCCGCCCCUCUCCUUUGCCCCGGCCGUCAAGACCCCGCGGUCGCUUCACCGGGUUGCGGCACCGCCCCAUCCUUGAGGUGGGAUGACCAAAUCCAGAAUCGCCUUACCUAACGGGGAUGGACUAGAGAUUUGCAUCCAAUCAGCCAAUCAGGCCUCCCUCAUCUCCACUAAGUGCAUCUGAACACAUGACUUCUUGCACGGUAUGUGUUCGACGAUUUUUCUCUGAAGGCACAAGUUGCUGCUAUGUUGAUUCAACCUUUGGGUAGCAUUCUGAUUAAAGUGAUUUGGUUUCUUUUUUCAACCUUUGGGUUGUAUUCUGAUGGAAGUGAUUUUGUUCUUCCAAUCUAUGUGUAGAAUGUUCUGUUUGUGGAGCAAGUAGGCGAACCAUUGGAGCGACGUGAUACUCCAUAUUGGCAUAAUCCCACUAAAUAGCAUGGUUAAUGAUUCCGAUUUUAGCAUCUAAUAAUUUUUCCAAUUACUUACAACUCUUAUUCAUAUAUGGUUAUUUGCUGUAAUGUACAGAACAUUUUUCAUAUAUCAUGACCCUUUGCAGUGUUUAUUUGGAACACAGGAUUCCUAAUUUUUGGACCUGUACACAACCAGAUUUUGGGGAUUUAUAAUGUGAGUGAGUUAUUAUGUUACUUGAAUCGGUGUACGUAACCUGGUUUUGUUGGGGCUUGGUUUUCAGUGAUUCCAACAGGUCAGUGACUUUCCACGCUCUCAGACAACAACAUUCUUAAUUCAAACGGUGAUGUGAUUUUAUCCAUAUGAAUAUUGUGUUAUCGUUUGUUUUAAUUCAAGUGAUAUUACACAUGUAGCUUGCUGGGUAUAUUUUACAUAUUUACUUUUGGAAAUUUCUUAGAGAUUAUGGAUGACAGCAGACAACAUUGCAGAUACGUUGCAGCUGGGCACCCUGAUCAGGUUUCCUUUUUGGAAAUCUGGUCCAAGCCCCACUACAGUUUUAUAUAAGGAUGUUGGAGGCAGCAUCGGAAGAGAUAAGUCUGCGGGAAUCUUGUCCAAACUCCACAUCGCUGUCACCGAACAAAGUUGGAGGUACAAUUGAAAGAGACCAGCCAGAUUCUUGUUCCGGGUAUUAAAAAGAAACCUGGCUAGAGAUUUCAUGCCAUGUCAUUCCAUUUAUGUUUGCUUGUGUGCUUAUCAUAUCUGAUUACAUGAUUGACAUUUAUUUCAUAAUUAGUAUAUACUUUGACACAUGAUAUGUUUUGCUUUAUUUAUGAACAACAGGAUACGUUUACUUUUUGUGAUCAUAUAAGUGAACAAACAUAGCCAAUGGUUAAAGUUUAUAUCUACUAUGUAUGUAUAUUUUUCAUUCACACAUGUCUCACUGCCUUUUAAGCACUUAAGAGAGCAGAACUGGAGAUUGCUCUCAUUAAAUGUGAACAAAAUUGAUGUUCUUUUUUUUGCAAAAUAGUAAAUACUGUGUUCUCUUGAUUGUUUUUUUAUCUUUUCAGUUUACCUGAAUCUAAGAAGUCCGACCAUCAAUUAAUGAGAGAUUUUUGCUUCUAUCAUUCAUGGAACCAUUGAAAUGAAAUACAUACCUUGGCUCAACCAAUACUUCACAAUCUUUUUGCCCAAAGCAAACAAUAUCAUUAUUUAUAUGUUCUAAAUUAAAAUAUUUUCGCUUGUGUGCUCAAUUAAAAUUUUACCGCUUAAAGGAAAAGAAACCAUUUUUAUCACUCCUACAGUUCACAGGGAGAGAGAACAAGAAAGAAAACCUUUCACCAAAAUCUUGUCUUCCUACUUACUUUUACUUACCAAGAAGAAUCAACAAUAAUUGAAUCUUUUAAGAAAAUGGAUAAAAGAUCAUUUUUAGUUAGUAAUGUACAACUCCCAACUUGUCUCUUUUACUUCUUUUUCUGUGCAUGUGCACCCUGUUGAAUGGUGUUGUACUUGUACAUAAUGGAAUUGCAAGCAAAACAAUGUUAUGGAUGGUCUACAAGAUUAUCUGGAUGAAUUCAUCUCCAGGGUAAAAGAAGGUAGGCAAUGUGCAUGACAUUUGAUUUGAAAUAAUAUUGCCUUGAAAAUGUAUGAGUGCUUUCUUGGCAUCUGACAUUGCAGAAUCAAACAUUGAUGCAUACCUUUGUAAAUUCUCUCGGGGAGAAAAAGUAUAAUUUGCAAGUUGCAACAUUGAUUCCAAAAUACAUGGUGUUCACACAUAUCUAUUUUAUGUAGUUUGUGAUAAACCAAAAUGUUCAGAGUUUUUGGAAGCACCAUCAAUGGUCUCUAUUUAUAUGGAGAUAAGUUAUGAAAAAAUGAGGUUCAACAACUUUGAACCUAUCUCUUGCUAGAUGUAAGGGCCUGAAAACAUGGUUUCAGGUCUAUAUGAUGAAUGUUACCUUCGCUGUUUCUUUUGUGUGUCAUCU
This is a long non-coding RNA of Triticum aestivum (bread wheat), 2672 nucleotides long. RefSeq lists it as uncharacterized. The transcript is spliced from 3 exons. The record is from RefSeq and is a predicted model, not a curated record. NCBI's taxonomy places the organism in Eukaryota, Viridiplantae, Streptophyta, Magnoliopsida, Poales, Poaceae.